GAAGAUGAAGAGCUUGAGGAAUGUAUUGAAAGAAAGAACAAAUAUCACCUUUUGGAGAUUCCAAUAGAAGUUGAGGAAAGGGAAUCCAUAGGGACAAUAUUGGAACUUGGAGAAAAUCAAUUCACGGAGAUGAUAAGGAUUGAAGAUUUCUCCACUCUUUAAUUCCGAUGGUUUUUGUAGAUUUUAUUUGUCCAAGCAUAGGUGGAUAUGAAGAAAAAUGUGAUGAUUCUCACUUCAAUUUUGUGAAAUUCAGCAUUGUUGACAUUGACCAAGAGGGCAAUAUGGUGUGCUCCACUAACAAAGUUCCUAAUUCUCUUACACUUCAAAAUCUGAGGACUGGCUUAUUCUAAGUGGAGAAGAAUGGUAUGGAAGCUAACGGUGCAAAAUUUUGGGUCAUUGCAAGCUGUUCUAACUCGAGGAUGAGUUUUUGCAAGUGAGGAAGUCUGAUGCGGAGCAUUUUUUUUUUUGGGACGAGAUAAUGUUUAGAUUUAGUUUUUCUUAAUGUUCAUAUUUAGUUAAAUUAAGGCUGCAGAUUUAGUUUCUUAUUGUUUUCCAUUUUAAUUACUAUUUGUUUUCUUUUACUAUUUCAAUUAGGACUAGUUAUUAGUUUUCCUACUUUAUCCAAGUUAUAGUUUUUCCUAUUUUAUUUAGGAUUCCUACUGUAUUUUUAGUUUAUCUAAACUUCCUAAAUAGUAGACCUAAUUUCCUAUUAGGUUUAGGAGAUCA
This 726-nucleotide unclassified non-coding RNA is filed under the name Hevea brasiliensis (rubber tree). Lineage: Eukaryota; Viridiplantae; Streptophyta; Magnoliopsida; Malpighiales; Euphorbiaceae. The record is from RNAcentral.